AACGAACGCUGGCGGCAUGCCUAACACAUGCAAGUCGAACGAGACCUUCGGGUCUAGUGGCGCACGGGUGCGUAACGCGUGGGAACCUGCCCUUAGGUUCGGUAUAACUUACCGAAAGGGGUGCUAAUACCGGUUAAUGUCUUCGGACCAAAGAUUUAUCGCCUUUGGAUGGGCCCGCGUUGGAUUAGCUAGUUGGUAGGGUAAAAGCCUACCAAGGCGACGAGCCAUAGCUGGGCUGAGAGGAUGAUCAGCCACACUGGGACUGAGACACGGCCCAGACGGCGACGGGAGGGAGCAGUAGGGAAUAUUGGGCAAUGGGCGGAAGCAUGAUCCAGCAAUGCCGCGUGAGUGAUGAAGGCUUUAGGGUUGUAAAGCUAUUUUACCCGGGAUGAUAAUGACAGUACCGUGAGAAUAAGCACCGGCUAACUCCGUG
Molecule: ribosomal RNA, 433 nt
Filed under: uncultured bacterium
Lineage: Bacteria
Description: partial 16S ribosomal RNA
Rfam family: Bacterial small subunit ribosomal RNA
Source: RNAcentral